This 403-nucleotide ribosomal RNA is filed under the name uncultured bacterium. RNAcentral describes it as "partial 16S ribosomal RNA". It matches the Rfam family "Bacterial small subunit ribosomal RNA", at positions 30 to 526 of the family's 1533-position model. The record is from RNAcentral.
AUUGAACGCUGGCGGCAGGCCUAACACAUGCAAGUCGAGCGAGCGGCGGACGGGUGAGUAAUGUAUGUGGACUGCGCGUUAGAGGGGGAUAACUCCUGUAAACGGUAUCUAUUACCGCAUACUAUCGGAUCGCCCAUAUGGGGUUAGCUAGUAGGUGAGGUAAUGGCUCACCUAGGCGACGAUCCCUAGCUGGUCUGAGAGGAUGAUCAGCCACACGGGGACUGAGACACGGCCCAGACUCCUACGGAGGCAGCAGUGGGGAAUAUUGCACAAUGGGCGCAAGCCUGAUGCAGCCAUGCCGCGUGUAUGAAGAAGGCCCUAGGGUUGUAAAGUACUUUCAGGCGGGAGGCGUUACCGACAGAAGAAGCACCGGCUAACUCCGUGCCAGCAGCCGCGGUAAUAC